This 503-nucleotide ribosomal RNA is filed under the name uncultured bacterium. Its description in RNAcentral is "partial 16S ribosomal RNA". It matches the Rfam family "Bacterial small subunit ribosomal RNA", at positions 28 to 523 of the family's 1533-position model. The record is from RNAcentral.
GAUGAACGCUAGCGACAGGCUUAACACAUGCAAGUCGAGGGGCAGCAUAAAAGUAGCAAUACUUUGGUGGCGACCGGCGCACGGGUGAGUAACGCGUAUGCAACCUACCUAUCAGAGGGGAAUAACCCGGCGAAAGUCGGACUAAUACCGCAUAAAACAGGGGCACCGCAUGGUGAUAUUUGUUAAAGAAAUUCGCUGAUAGAUGGGCAUGCGUUCCAUUAGGUAGUUGGUGAGGUAACGGCUCACCAAGCCGACGAUGGAUAGGGGAACUGAGAGGUUGGUCCCCCACACUGGUACUGAGACACGGACCAGACUCCUACGGGAGGCAGCAGUGAGGAAUAUUGGUCAAUGGGCGAGAGCCUGAACCAGCCAAGUCGCGUGAAGGAAGGAGGAUCUAUGGUUCGUAAACUUCUUUUGCAGGGGAAUAAAGUGCAGGACGUGUCCUGUUUUGUAUGUACCCUGAGAAUAAGGAUCGGCUAACUCCGUGCCAGCCGCCGCCGUAA